ACGGAAGGCAGCAGUAGGGAAUAUUGCACAAUGGGGGAAACCCUGAUGCAGCAACGCCACGUGUGGGAAGACGCAUUUCGGUGUGUAAACCACUGUCGUGAGGGAAUAAGGCUGAGUUUCGGCUCAGUUGAAUGUACCUCGAAAGGAAGCACCGGCAAACUUCGUGCCAGCAGCCGCGGUAACACGAGGGGUGCAAGCGUUGUUCGGAAUCACUGGGCGUAAAGGGAGCGCAGGCGGAAGUGCAAGCGGUCUGUACAAUACCGGGGCCUAACCCCGGACCUGCAGACCGGACUGUUUCUCUUGGAUAGCUCAGGGGCUGGCGGAAUUCCUGGUGUAGCGGUGGAAUGCGUAGAGAUCAGGAAGAACACCGAUGGCGAAGGCAGCCAGCUGGGGGCUUAUCGACGCUCAUGCUCGAAAGUGCGGGUAGCAAACAGGAUUAGAUACCCUGGUA
This 451-nucleotide ribosomal RNA is filed under the name uncultured Fibrobacter sp. RNAcentral's name for it is "partial 16S ribosomal RNA". It matches the Rfam family "Bacterial small subunit ribosomal RNA", at positions 341 to 792 of the family's 1533-position model. Lineage: Bacteria; Pseudomonadati; Fibrobacterota; Fibrobacteria; Fibrobacterales; Fibrobacteraceae. The record is from RNAcentral.